AAUCUGCCACCGCUGCCACCGAGCCGAGGGGCGCCAGCAAGGCAUCCCCUGGGUCAAGGGGCCUCCCGUGGGCUUUCCAAACAGCCUGUGCUCAUUUCCGCGGGAGCCCUCGGGGCGCUGUGCUGUGGCUGCAUUGUCACUGUUUGUUUAUUUCUACAUCUGCUCUGUUAGAAGAUAGGCUCGCUUAGGACAGAGCCUUCUAAUCCACCCCCUGAUGAAUUCGGGCCCUCGCCUUUGGCACAAUGCCUGGCGUCAUCACAACGCGGGUGAUCAGUAAACGGCAGCGAAGGAAGCGGGGUCAGGACUGGAGAGGAGAGGGGGAGGAAGACAGACGACCGGAGAGGAACAAAAAUGGAAGAACAAGUAAGAAUGGACAGAGGAAUACCAUGUGCUGACUGACGAACGCCUGGGUUUCUGAACCAAUUGCCAUCAAGGGGAUUGGGAUUACCAUAAUUUUUGCUGAGACUAAGCCCCACCCCAGUAACCAAAGGCAGUGUUUCAAGAACCCAGCUCCAUUCAUCCUAUGAUGCCACCAUCCUCAGCAUUUGACUUCCAUGGCUCCUAUAUGCUGCCAAGAGAAUUUUUUUCUUUAAGAACAAAUAAACUAAAGAAAUUAACAUCCAGCUUGCUGAGUCACUUGCUUUCCACUUGAAUUUUAACUACAAGGAUCUGAAGACAGCCUGUGUUAGGCAGAGAAAGAAAGAGACAGAGAAAGAGUCAGGGAGAAGAGAGGAAGAGAGAUGUAGCUGGAGAGUCAGGGAGAAAUUCAAAGAGAUGGAGAGAGAGACUGGUUCUGGAAAGAAAAGAUAAGUUAAAUAGAAAAAGGAAAGUAAUCUUUGAAAGGUUUGUUUAAGACAUGUAUUUUCUUACUCUGUAGUGGGAGCGCUGAAUAAAAAUAUUUAAAUAAAAGCUGUAAUGUGAUUAA
RNAcentral lists this long non-coding RNA (925 nucleotides) under Homo sapiens (human). RNAcentral's name for it is "uncharacterized LOC105372524, transcript variant 5 (LOC105372524)". Lineage: Eukaryota; Metazoa; Chordata; Mammalia; Primates; Hominidae. The record is from RNAcentral.